UUGGGUUUGUGUUUGUGUUUCAUCCGUAGUCGGAUGUUGUUCUCAUGUAUGAUGUUUGAUGUAUUUUUGUGGCAUUUGUAUGCCUUGUAUGUAUCCCCAACUAUUAUCUAAUGGUGCGAUGUAAUGAUAUGCACCUUGCAAAAGCGUUUCAAUAUGCAGCUCUAUCCUUGGUGGGACCUUCAAGUUCCUCUCGGAUAGGAUCGCAUAUCGCGCGUGACAAGUUGGUAUCAGAGCCUCGACGGACCAUAGGAGCCCCCUUGAUUGAUCAUAGUUGGCCGUCGUCGAGUCUAGAAGAAAUCUUUUUCGGAGUCUAGUUAUCGGAGAGUAGGACUUAUUUUUACUCCUCAGCCCCUUCGUCGCUCUGGUGAGAAAUCUUGACGUAGGUGUUUUGACUUGCUCCUCUUCCCUUUCAGAUUUUUUUAGGACCACACAGGCUUCUUUUGAUCAUUGUGUUCUCAAUCCUCUUUUCAUCCGGCGCACUUCUCUUCGAUUUGAUUCGACCCUCUUUGUCUUUUGCAAGGUCAGUGCUCAGUUCUUUCACAACAACGUUGUUUCCCCGUCCGAAGAUAAACAAUGUCGUAUGAAGUUGUUUUCUUUUCCCACCCACCCACCAUUUUUUCUUCUCAGAGCCAGAGUCCGUAAUCGAGUAUCCAUCCUACUCGUGCGUAGCCUUUGCAUUCUUUCCUUAAUUAUUUCAGUUAUUCAUCGGUUCCCCAUUCCAAGUUGCCUUUGUUUUACCUUCCCUCCCACCCCUUCUUCUUCCCUGAGUCUGAGCCUCUAUUCGAGCACCAAUUUCAUUCGUGCAGAGCCUCUUUGGUCUUUCCUCAAUUGUCUCAAUCGGUGAAUUCUCGUUGACUUCAUCAUUAUUUGUCUCGUUUUCCUUUUCGGGUAUCCAAUUCAAUUUUUUGGUGUUGAUCGUAUUCUUUGCCUGGGCUCAAAUGUUUCCCCUUGCUCAUUCACCUCUCUCCAUUUAGUCCUUCCAGAGUGCUCAAAACAUCUGAGAAGAUUCAUGUUUGCCUUCAAUUAUUUCGAGGUUGUCACCUCAUUCAAGUCUUUGAAUUGUUCCGGUGCAUCAUCUCUCUUUCACUCAAUCCUUCUCAAUGGUGUUUUCCUUUCAAGUGGGCCCUAACUCAUACGUCUUUUCCUAGGAUCUUACCUGACUCUUCCAAUUAUCUAGAGUUAUUCUCAAAUUGUUUUUGAAGUUUGACGUAAGAAUGAAUUUCGUUAGUCAGAUGCUUUUCCCAGAUUGAUUUCAAAUUAUUUUCAUUGUUGGCUCGACCAUUUCGCUUUUCAUUCUCUCGGAGUGUCUCAACAAUUUUGGUGUUGUUCCUCGUCGUCAUUCUCAACGUUUGAAGACCGAAGAAUUGUUUCCUCUAAAUCUUGUCCAUUCUCUCGGAGAUUCAUGGUUCUAGCUUCAUGUUAUCCUCUCUAACCAUUCCGGUUGUCAGAAAUUCUUUUCUUACCCAUCGGGAGUAUUUCAAAAGUUGUUUUCUGUUUCGAUUAUCCGAAGGCCUUCAUUUCGGAAUAUUUCUUCGUUCCAAGUUUUUAGCUUUGUUCUCCAAUUAUUCUAAACUGAUGCCACUUCUUUAGUCAGCUUGUGAUAUCUUCGUUAUUUUGUCCCUAAAUCCCCUCAAGUAUAUUUGUUCUUUUAAUUCUUCAAAGUUAUUCAUUCUCUUUUAUUUGUCCGUUUUCAAAUUCUUCCGGUGGUUCAUUCAACAUUCCUAUUACUUUGUUAUCGUAUCAAUUCAUUCGUUGCUCCCAAAUCGCACCGAUGGUUCGUUGAAGACCUUCUCAAGUUUGCGCUAUGUCUCUCUUCAAUCCUUUUCAAGAAGAAUAAGUUGCAUGCCAAAUCCUUUUGUCAUCAAUUAAAAUUUGAUGAGGACAAGCAUAAUGUAAUUCUUAUUCUCAUUUCAUUAUGGUCAAGUAAUUCUUUUCUUCGAAGAUUGUUCAUGAUGAAUAAUUUCUCGGUUUUAAGUUGUUCAUAUUUUCUUAUCCAUAGUUCCAAGUUUUUCUUGGUUGUCUCAUCAUGAAGAUCCAUCCAAAUCAUCGCAAGGCUUCAUCUUUUUCUUUUCAACAUUCAUUUCUUUAAUCCUUUUGUUUAUCGGAGUUCUUCAUGGUGGUUCAUAAAGGAUUUAAUUCAUUCUUCAAGUCCACCAAGAAUCUUGUUGGAGCUCACGCAUCCCUCUUCUUGCACACUGAAGUGCAACUAAUUCUCCUUGUCUUUAAGACAUGUUGUUUCACAUCUUUUCUUUCGUCUCCAACAAACAAUCGUUUCUGUUUGUGCGCGGUUAUCACCUCAUAAUUUUGAGAUGUUUCCCAUAAGCCCACAACAAGCUUAUUCUUUUUGUUGUUGAUUUUCCAACAACUCCAUUCAAUCCUUCCUUGCAAGGAUGCUUCAGAAUACAAUUAUGGUGGAAGUUGUCUUUUGAUCCUCCUUUUCUUUUCCUUUCAACAAGUUGCCUUCUAUUCUUCCGUUCCGGAGGCAGUGUGAUGUUGCUCUUUUCAUCCAUCAUCUAGUUUAUUCCUUGCUUAUCCAUUUUACCAGAGUGUGAAGUCCUCUUUUGAAGUCCUUUUUCUUGCCAAUAUCUGCUUUCCUUUCUACUCGGACGCUAUCUGUAUUCUUCCAUUCUUAUUCCUUUUCUACCUUGUUCUAACCAGAGUGGUUUCACAGUCUAUCUUAUGACCUGAGCUUUUGAUUCUUGUCAUAAUCGCCGUUCCUCUUUUCUAACCGAGUGCUCUUGACUUUCUUCAUCUUCUCUCUUGCGUUCUUAUUUCACCUCAUCCUCUUUUCUUCCGUCUCGCUCUUAAGAUCUCGGGACGAGAUCUCUUGUUAGUGGGGGAGUGUUGUGACGCCCCAAGACCGAUGCUCCAGAUGACUUCCAUUUAUUUUGGUUGUCGCCAUGUGUUUAUUGUAUUUGUUGCAUUAUCGUAAUUGGUUUGCAUGUUUCAUUCCUAUAUGUUUGUUCCCAUGUUCAUGUUGAGUGCUUUGUCAUAUCUUUGCUUCUUGCACCAUGCUUAUCUCACUUGUUAUGUUGCAUUGUCCGCUUGUCAUUUUUGCAAUUCAUCAUGCUCAUCAUGUGCAUUGUGAGAUUCAUCUUGUUACUUUACUUGCACUGUGUUUGUCAAUGUUGCUUUCCCUAUGCAUAUGUCCCAUGCAUCAUCCCCUCCUUCCUUCUUCUUUCAUUCAUUUUUGGCAAGUGACAUUUUCCCCUCCUCCAUAAAUGUUCAUUCUUUUCCUAUAAAUUCUCAACCCUGCCUUCAACAUCUCUGCCAAAUUUCAUCUCCUUUGGACUUGUUUUGGUUGGGUUAAAAAAUGGAUCAAGUUUGAAUUUAAUUCAAACUUGAAUUAUUUUCCUAUCUCUGAAACUAUCCAAACCAUUUUACGCAAAUUGUGCACGAUAUAUAUAUAUAUAAGUCUAUUCCUUUUCCUUCCUAAAGCCCCUGCCUUUUCCCCUUUCUAUGCGGUGUAUAUAAAUCGUAGGAAUUUUUAAAAAGGAAUAGGCCCUGAAACCCCCUGGAGAAGCCCACCUGGGCCUCUCUUUCCCUCCAGCCUAGCCGAACCUAGCGUCCAACUACUCCCUCCUGACGCUGUCUCCUUCUUCCAGGCAAACAGCAGCAGCGCCGUGAGCAGGAGGCUCACGGACGUCGAUGCCAGCAUGUCCCGCACCCCUAUAAAACCCUGUAGUGACACCUAGGGUUUCCUCCUCCCUCCUCGUGCCGCCAUCUCUCUUCCUCCCCUCUAUUUUCCUUUCUUCUUCAAGAACAAAGAACAUAGGGCACCCGAGAGAAUAAAACCAUUGGCGUCCGUCGUCGUCCUCACGUCUGGCCUGCGCCAGGACCCUCUGCGGCAUGUCGUCCUACACCCCGUCACCCUCCUUGAACGAUCAUUGGAGUUAGUUGGGCGGGAGCCUCCCUAACGCGCCUCCCUGCUGUCGCCGCUGCCAUGUCCGGUCGUGCCAAGCCGAGCUCUAGCCCAGCGUCGUCCACGUUGCCGGCGGCCUUCUUCUUCCUCUAGAGCGACCCCUCGCAUGGCCUCCCCAAGCCGGAUCGCCAAGUCCAGCGCCAGGUAGCCUCCCCUGCUUCCUCUGCUUUACGAGCAGCAUCACUCGACGAGAUCCUCGCCACGCCUCGGAUCGGCCUUCUUGGGCCCGUCCGAGCUCACCUUCCGCAUCUCCUCGGUGAGCCGCAUCGAAUCCCCUCUUUUACUGCUUCUCUACAUGCAUGUAGUCACCGAUCCCGUCGUGUUUGAGCCGUUGUUGCCAUGCUAUCGCCAUGGCCAUUUUGAGCCAAGUCCAUGCCUUGUUUGCCGCACACCCGCACGUCGUUUCUUUUGCAUCCUCCUGCACAAUCCCGCAUGCACGCUCGCGCGGCACGCGCAAUAGCCGCAGAGCACCAUCCGCGUGGCUCCGGUCGUCUUCUUCUCCAUGUCUGGGGCGAGCUGUAGCUCAUGCCCGAACACCUGCGCAUUCACACAUGCAUGCGCACGUCCCGUAGCCACACUGCCUCCCAAUCCCGCACCCCCGCCGGUGCUCCAUUGCUCCGGUGGUCGCUGCCAUUGCUUGCCGGCACCGCCGCCAUCUUCCUGUGCGCGGUGUAGAGCAGGGCGCAACCUUCUGGCAAUGGUUCAAAACGGGCCAGGCGCCAUUCACUUUGCAAACUCCUCCCUCUAGCAUAGUGGUCAGCGCCCCUCUGUUCUACCUAGGAGUCCUGGGUUUGAGUCCCAGUCUCAACUAGUUUUGUUGUGGCCUUAUAUUUUAUCACUAUGGCUAUGACACCUUGGCCCCACUGUCAUACACACACGCGCACAACCCCCUUUUCUUUAUUUUUUUCUUCAUAUUUCCUGAAAUUCCAUUUCUGGAAAUUGGCAUCUUUCCAAAUCGGGCAGGUUCUAAUCUGGACAUUCCAUAUCUGGCAUUUUCCUUUUCCGUCUGUUUCCAUUUAAGGCAAUAGAUGACUUAUAGCAUUUGUGCGCAUUUUCAUAUAGCAACAUAUACAUAUUAUAUAUCAUUUUGGGGUAGAAAAAUCCCACCAAUCCAUUAGUGGCAUCCAUUUCAUCAUUUGGGCAAAUUGUAAACAUGUUAUUUUUGCAGCAUAUGCCAUUUUAGAAUUUUUACAUGUUUUUGUGUGAUUUUCAUAUGAGCUAUAUCAUGACAUGAAUUGGAGCACAAACAUGCCAUCUUACUGCUAGAUUUUGUUUCAUACCACGAAAUGCAUUGUAAUGAGCGCUACAAGCUUGCAAACAUGUCUACUUGAAUAUGUUUUGCCAUGCCCUAUUUAUUUUUGCUAAGUCUGAAAUUGCUUAUAUGACUUCACAUUUUGCAUUGAUGCUACCAUCAUAUCUAAGGGCUUAUGGAACAUGUUCAGUGAGGAUGUUUUGUUAAGGGUGUUUAGUACAUGCUUGCCAUGCUGUUUGUUGCCAUGAAAAGUUCCUAUAGCAUAUACUUUUGUUGUCUCAAAGUAUACAUCAUGAAUAUGUUUUCAGCCUUACUCUGUUUUUCACGAAGUCGGAGAAUCUAUUAUAACUUGCAGGUCUUGUCUUGAUGAAUGCCAUUGAUCUAGGCGUUAUAUGUAGAUGCUUAUUAAUAAUGUUUUUCCAUGUUUAAGCUGUACUUUGAUGCCAUGCUUUUGCUUUGAAAGUGCUAGUGAUCGACUAGAGGGGGGGGUGAAUAGGCGAUUUUUAUGAAAGUCUUCAAAACAUGGAAGUUUCGAAGACAAACGAUAGAAAUAAACCUAUUAUCAUGCAGCGGAAGCUAGACUACCCUAAGCAAGCCAUAGUCAAGUAUUCAAUGAAGUGAAAGCACAACAACUAAUAGCAGCUAGGCAGUAUAGAUCAUGUUGGAAGAUAGUGUGAAGCCAAUCAGAACAAGCGGUCACUUAGUGAAGACAAAAGAUAAUGCAAUCAUACAAUGACUUCACUAGAGCCAACAGUAAGUAAAGGAAUGGGAAGGAUGAAACCAGUGACUCGUUGAAGACAAUGAUUUGUUGGACCAGUUCCAGUUGCUGUGACAACUGUAUGUCUGGUUAGGGAGGCUGAGAUUCAACUCAGAAGACCGUGUCUUCACCUUAUUCCCCUUGAGCUAAGGACACCCAGUCCUCGCCCAAUCACUCUUCCAAACCUUCAAAGCCUUCGUUCAUCGGCGAUCCACAAUGACUCUUGGAUGCUCAGAAUGCGACGCCUAACCGUCUGGAGGAUUCACAGUCCUCAAGUGUAAUAAGUCUUCAGAUCACACAGACAGGAAGACUUAAGUGAUGCCUAACACUCUUUGGCUCUUGGUGUUUAGGGCUUUAUCCUCGCAAGGAAUUCUCUCUCAAAGGCUUCGAGGUGGGUUGCUCUCAAACGACAGAAGCCAUACACUAACGCUGAGCAGCCAACCGUUUAUGGUUUUAGGUGGUGGGCUAUUUAUAGCCACUUGGCAACCCGACCCGAUUUGUCCAAAAUGACCCUGGGUCACUAAGGAACUGACACGUGUUCCAACGGUCAGAUUUCAAACACACACAACAACUUUGCUUGAGCUACAAGCAAAGCUGACUUACCCAGCUCUGGAUAAGAUUUGCUCUCAUUGUCUUCGCUCGAAGACAUAGGAUUUUGGUUAAGCAUCACUUCAGUCAUUCUGACUGGUUCACUUGGACCCCACUUCACAGUACGGUGGUUCCUAUGACUCAACAAAGAAGAAAAGGAACGACGAAACAACUAAGUCUUCGCGCUCCAUAGUCUUCACUAGAUGUCUUCUCUUGUCAUAGUCUUCAAUGUGACUGUCUUCACAUACCACCUUUGACUUCAAUGUCUUCAUACAUUUUUAGGGGUCAUCUCUGGUAGGAAAACCGAAUCAAUGAGGGACUUCUAGCUGUGUUAUCCUGCAAUUCUCACAAGCACAUUAGUCCCUCUACCAGGUUUGUCGUUAAUACUUGAAAACCAACUAGGGGUGACACUAGAUGCACUUACAAUCUCCCCCUUUUUGGUGAUUGAUGACAAACUGGUUGAAGUUUUCAACGGGGAAUAAAAUAUGUGAAAUUGUAAAGGAUAGGGUACUGUCUUCAUAAGUUGCAAGGUCUCCCCCUGAAGAUGUGCAUAUAAGUAAUUUGAUUUUGGAAUGCAAAUGCACAUGACAGGUUGUACUUGUGGAGAUCCUCUUCAACCUAUGAUAACAAUUCAUCAUGCAUGAUAUGACGUAACGAAGAUAAUGACAUGCAUAAUGGAAAAUGGACAUAUGCAAAAUGAUCUGAGUGUGGAAUUUAUCGUCGCACAUGCGGAAUUUAUCAUCGCAUCACAGAAUAGCAAAUAAGUAGCAGACAACCAUCGAGUUUAAGUGUUACAACUCAAAGAACCAAAUGUAUCGAAAACGAGAGUUGUAAGAACUUGGCAAAAGUGGCAAAAAGUAAAGCAUCCACCCAUAUUAACCCGCUUGAAGACUAUCAACUCAUAUGCUUCUCCCCCUUUUGUCAGCGAGGACCAAAAAGGUUUGAAGACAUAGAGCGCCUACUCAUUCCCAUGAGGUGCAAGUGAGGCAGCAGGGUCAUCGUUGAGGUCCGGUGGUGCAGUGUCGACACGCGCUGAAGUUGGAGGAGGUGAAGUUGCAUCAUCUUGGUCAUCGAUGACUCUAGCAUUCACUGUCGCAGCUGAGGACGAGUAGUCAGAGUCUUCAAGUGAGGGAGUCCGACGCAAGUGAGCAUUUCUGGGAGGAGUUGAGUCAAACUUGAACCGCUCGGUGAAGCCAUCGUCUUGUAGAUCAACUUCAGCACUAAGUAAGGUCAAACUCUUCCACGACCUUCGACAGGUUUCAUGAGUGACAAAGGCAUUCUUGGUGGCAAGAUUGCGAAUGCGGUUGACAUCCACCAAGAGGCUUUGCAUCUGACGCUUAAGCCAGUCGUGAUGUUUGUCCUGUUUCUGAUGCACCGCGACAAGAAUCUCUCGGUCAUUUAGGACACGAGACCGUCUUCGAGGCCAUUGCGCAAUGGUUCUACCAGUGGCAUCUGUCUAAGCGCGAGGGGAACGUGUGUUACCAGCAAGAGGAUAAACACAAGAAACUGCUAAAUCUCCUUCAAUAUGCUGGGUGAAGCUUUGGUGAUCAACAUUCUGAAGAUAAAGGGGUUCCUUCGCCGGCUCUGGGUAAAUAGCUUCGAUUGACAUAUCAACCUCUAGCAAGAAUAUGAGAUGAUUGCGCGCAGACGGCUGAUAGUUGAAGGCGGAGUGACGCUUGAUAAGACGCAUGACCCAUGGAGCAGAGAAUUUCAACCCAAAGAUGUCGGAGCCAGAUGCAGCCAACAACCUGAUGAAGAAGUCUUGAGCAUUGAAGCUGAUGCCAUUGAAGAUAUAGAAAACCAAAGUCUUCAUUGCUCCUUCAAGCUUCACUGCAGAUGAAUGUCCUUUGACAGGCCAUAGAGUCUUCCUGAUGAUAUGGUAAAUGGUGCGAGGCAGGUACUCUAGGUCUUCAACAAAGAACUCAGAUGGGUAUUCAGCGCCGUGAGGCAGAGGCUUCAUCAUGCUCAGCAUUGGACUCAUGUUGGGUUCUGGCUUCUGAAAGAUGAUUUCCAAGGCAUUUUGGUGUUGUUGACAACCUGGUUCAUAGUAUUCACCAGGAGUGGGCAGGCCUGUGAGCUCAAUGAUAUCAAGAGCUUUAGCUUCAUGAUGGACAUUGCCUGUCAUCCACUCAAGGACCCAAGUCUUUGGAUCCCUGUUGUAGCCUCGAAUGUGGAGAGUUGCAUAGAACUAUAGCAGAAGCUCUUCAUUCCAAUGCUCUUUAUCUGUGACAAACUGCAACAGACCAGCAUCUUUGAAGCAAUAUAACGCUUCUUCAAGGCAGGGCAGGCCAGCUAUAGCUUCAGAGUCGAGGCGCAUAUGUGGAAAUAUGCACUCUUGAUUGUAUAGGAUGCAGGAAUAGUAGCUGCGCUGCUGAUAGCUCCAGAACCGAUCUGAUGAAAUGCGAGGUCUGGUAUAAGGGUUCUUGGAGCUGUUGAAGAAGGUUUUAUGUGCCACUAAGCCAUUCACAUUGAAGACCCCAGGUGAAGUGGCAGUUCCUGGGAAUCAUGGAAGUCUUGGCUUGGGCUUUUGGACUUGAGGUCUGUGCUCGACAUGAUACUCAAAUUGUGGACCCGCAACAGGUGGAGGAACCAGAACGGGCCAGCGGACCAUAACAGGCCGACCAUGAUCAAAUGCCAGCUCAAUUGUAUGAGGUCUUUGAGGGGGAACAGGAGCAUUGACAUUGUCUUCAUGGGCUUCAGGGGCCACAUUGGGUUCAAGUGCUUGUACCUCAGGUGCUUCAGCAUUGACUUCGGGUGCUGUAGUGGCUUCAGAUGCUUGGACUUCUGGCACUGUAGUAGCUUCAGGCAUCGUAUUAGCUUCAGCCAUGACGACGUCAUUGGCUUCAGCGGUGAUGUUAGUGGUUGCCUCAGGGUUGUUAACCUCCACUUCAGGAGCUGGAGGCUUGGACACGUUCUCCUCGAGAACAACAUCUUGGUGGGACAGGGGUGUAGCAACUCUUUCAACUCUUGGUGCUUCUUCUUCAUCGGCUGAUGCAGCCAGAAUAUCUUCAACCAUUUUGGCUUCUGACUCAGACACGUGCAUAGUGGGAGUGACUUGGGGCCUUGGUCCUUUGCGAAGCCUGCGUAAUGCUGGCGACGCUUGUGGAGAUGGAGUGCGCUGGGCCUCAAAGUCAUCGUCUUCUUGCACUGGUGGGGUAGCUUGUGGUUGGGGAGAGCUUGGCGUGUCUUGUCGUUGUGGGUGAUUAGCCCACGAUGCAUCCUGAGCAGUUGGCAUCAUAGGACGACCAAUGCUGAUGAGUUCGCUGUGCGUGAGCACAGGCGAUGAUACCAAUUGGUGCUCGAUCUGAGGAAGGACUUCAUCAUCUGCAACAUUCUCAUGAGGACCAUUGUCUUUAGCUGCGGUGGGGUCAACAGCUAGAUUGUCUUCAGCUUCAGGAGCCUCUGGAGAAGCAGGCUCAUGAAUUACCACUUGGCAUUCUGGAUUUUCAGACGCAGGACGAGCCACUGAGAUUGGCUCGACAUUAAGGGGCUCUGUGGGAGCAGCCCGAUCUCGAUUCUUGGUUUUUCAUUUCUUGGUUGGAGGAGCAUCAUCAGUAGUGCCCUUGGUUUUGCGUAGCAGCCCUUGUUUUCUUCAGUUCCGAAGCCAUUGUGGGGACCUUAGGCUUCGAGCUUGUCAUACUGGCUGGGAAGACAAUUGGAUGUACUUCCUGCCUUGGUGCUUCAGGUUCUGCCACAGCUGGCUUCUUCUUCUUCUUGGCCACCAUUUGGGGGUCGAUCCCUGGUCACCCCAAGGCCUUGCGCUUUUCAGCCUCAAUGUACCCUUGGACACAUUUAGCGGAAGGAUCCUUCAUGCAUUCACGAGAACCCUUGGCUUCUUCACAUUUGGUUCGAAAAGCUUCCUUAAGCUCAUGCAUCAUGGUCUGGAAGUUCUGAAUGUCUUCAACGUCGAGCUUGGCCAUGUGCUUCUUGAACUGAGCCUUUUCAUAAUCGAUCUUAUGCUCCAGUUCAACAAUCUUCUGAGCUAGAGCCAGCUCAGCAGCAAUGGCUCCAUGGAAGGCGACGCUCAGGCCAAUCGGAAGCUGAAGAUCAUCAAAGCUGACAUUUGGGCUGUCAAACCAAUCAUCAAUGAAGGUGUCGAUGAUUUCAACAUCAAAGAGAGGAAGGUCAUUGAAGAUUUCUGCCUCUUGCUUCCUCUUGAUCAGCUGCUCAAGAGCAUCAUCACCAAGAUCGUCGUUGCUGGACAGAUCAAUGGCGUCAUUGCACAGAAUAGCAGCAGCAGUCAGUUAUUGGCUAGUGGGUUGCAAGGGCAUCUUCACUCUGGAGGGCUUGGAGAUGCGUGAAAAAUCUUCAGACUGCACACUGUGUUCAGGAGGUGUAGUGGCCAGAGGCUUCGCCUGUAAGACCUUUGGUGCAGGAGCAGGCUUUGAAGCUUUAGGCUUUUUCAGUUUCUUUAGCUUCGGUGGUGCAGGCGCUUCAUCAGAUUCAGCGUCGUCUGCAGGCUCAUCCACGGCUGUCCCUUGAACCAUGAUAUGAGUGAUGAGACCUUAUAGGUUGUAGAAGGGCCCAACAAGAUUGGGUUCAGCUUCGCGUGUGCCAUCGGCACAAGGAGUAGAGGGUUAAAGUCUAAGCCUCGUGACUUGUUGUUCUCUUUGGCCGAGUUCCUGGAAAACUAAAGGUUGCGCUUGAACAGAUUAUCGUCGCGGCACCACAGUAAUGAAGAUGGGUCUGCAUCUGCAGGCUGUGGCCACACACCAUGCAAGGGUAGAAGCCUUGUUCAAUGGCUUCAGCUCUGGACCUGGGUUGAAGAUUUCUGUAUAGAAUGUCUCCCCAUGGUCGUUUGAUGGCAUUCUUCUCAGCAUACUCUUGGGUCACGAACCUGUACUUGAACCACUGUUCUGCCCAAUAUCUUCGAAUCCAUUGGAUUCGAGUUUUUCGCUGAUUGUAGUCCUCCUCUGGAUCUGCCUUGUACACCACAUAGAGGUCAGGAGGCAAAUCUCUUGAGGUGUUGCCACGAUGCUGUCUGCCACCCUUCCUUGCAGAUUUCUCGGGUGCCAUGAAGUUUAAACUAAAAGGCUUCAAAGUUGUCAAAGUCUUCCGUCUACUGGUCAGACAAGAACUGGCUUCAGGAGAAUUUAUAUGAUGCUGUAAGAAUUCUGCAAAUGAAUGCAGACUAUGAGAACCAAGGGAUUCUCCCACGGACAUGUACCUGUGACAGCAUUAAGGUGCGAGGGAAGGGGAAGAGGUUAUAUGCAUUCUCAGAAGAUUUUGAAGAUAAAUCAGUUUAGAAGACAUUGACCUCAUAGUGCAAAGACAUUCACUCAUAGAUAGAGAGUUGGUUCCAGAUUUGUACAAAUCCACGAAUAAGUACAAGUGACGAAUCUAACUACUUUGUGAAGCAUAAGUGAACAUUCUAGGCAUAUUUAUGAGAUGCAGUAUGAAAUAGAUUCAACUUGUGUGAAUAGAAACUGCUUGUGGUAGAAAAUGAUGAAUCUAUAGGAUCAAAGGGGCCGUAAAAGGAGGUUUUAUUUACUACACAAAGAACUGCUAGACGAAGUGGAAGGGGAGGCCGAGCAGUUCGAAUCUUCCAUGCCCUAACUUGGUGACGGAGGACACCUACGGCGACGACGGAGAAGACGAUGUCCGCAGUCGGCGUGAAGACGACAUCGGUGAGGUCGCGGCAGCAUAGCGCUUCGUCGCCGGCAUCGUCGAGGGAUAGCGGUGGCGCUAGGGUUUGUGCGAGAGUGGAAGAAAGGAUAAUGACUGUGGUGAGGCGUGUAUUUAUAGGGAUAGGGACGACACAGUGUUAUUACACAGGUGCCCCUGGCGAUUCACAUCUGAAGGACAUGUGGCUAUCAUGCAACACAUCGGAGGUUGUUCCAUGUUCCCACACACGCUUAGAUUGUCGAGUGGUCGUUCCCACUUCUUCGGGUUUCAGGUGAAAGGAUUUAGCAUUGAAAAUGGAUUAAUGUUUGUCUCUGUGUCUUCUGCUGACAAGGAUGCAGAGAAGACAUUUUGAUAGUGUCAAUUGAAUGCAUAUGAUUUGGAUAGAUAGACUUGAGAUAGAAGCAUAGAGGGGUUAGGGUCCGAUCACAUUCACUUAGGUCAAAAGAUUCAAUGUGAAGACAUAGCUAUAAGUGAAUGUUGUAGAGGAUAGAAACCAAAUUGAAGAUAAACAUGAGAACUUUUAAUCAUUGAAGACAAACAAAAUGCGAAGACUUUGCAAAUGUAACGCCAUGAGAUAGACACUUCAUAGGGAAAAUGUUGGUGGUGGCGUUACCCACCGUAUAGGAAAUAUUAGACCCAGACAUGGCGCACAAUUAUCGUGGUGCUCUGAAGUCAAAUUCCACAUUAAUAUAUUCACACUCAGAAUGUAAGUCUUCAUUGUUUGAAGAUAUACUUUACUUCGUGUGUUGCACAUCUAAGUCGCCAACAUGCUUAAGUGUUAGGAUGUGUGCCUAAUCACAGGACAUUUGAGGAUUCCAAGAUAUUUAGCUCACACCAUAACUUGCAAAACCUCUUCUCAUCCAAGGGCUUGGUGAAGAUAUCUGUCAAUUGCUCUUCAGUGUUGACGUGUAUGAUAUCAAUAUCUUCCUUCAUAACAUGAUCUCUGAGAAAGUGAUGACGAAUUUCAAUGUGCUUUGUCUUCGAGUGCUGAACUGGGUUGUUGGCAAUCUUGAUGGCGCUUUCAUUGUCGCAAUAGAGUGGCACUUGCUUCAGAUGAAUGCCAUAGUCUUUGAGUGUUUGCUUCAGCCAUAGAAGCUGAGCACAGCAAGAUCCAGCAGCAAUGUAUUUAGAUUCAGCCAUGGAGAGAGAUACACAGUUCUGCUUCUUUGAAGACCAACAUACAAGUGAUCGUCCCAGAAAAUGACAUGUGCCUGAUGUAGACUUGCGAUCCACCUUGUCACCAGCAUAAUCAGCAUCCGAGAAUCCAGCUAGAUCAAACUCCGAGCCCUUUGGAUACCAUAAUCCUAGUGUUGGGGUGUGAGCCAAAUAUCUGAGAAUUCGCUUGACAGCUAAGUGAUGCGAUUCCUUUGGUGCCGCAUGGAACCGGGCACACAUGGAAACACUAAGCAUGAUAUCUGGCCUAGAUGCACAUAAUAAAGCAAGGAACCAAUCAUGGAGCGGUAUACCUUUUGAUCGAACUCUUUACCAUUGUCGUCGGGACCCAGAUGGUGUUUGGCUGGCAUUGGCGUCAUGUAGCCUUUGCAGUCUUGCAUUCCAAAUUUCUUCAGGCAAUCUUUGAGGUAUUUCUCUUGGGAUAUGAAGAUGUCGUUGCGUUGCUGACGUAUUUGAAGACCAAGGAAGAACUUCAGCUCACCCAUCAUGGACAUUUGAUAUUGCUCUUGCAUCAUGUAUCCAAACUCAUCACUGUAUUUCUGAUUAGUGCAGCCGAAGAUAAUGUCAUCCACAUAUAUUUGGCACACAAACAGUUCACCAUCAUAUGUCUUCGUGAAGAGAGUGGGAUCGAGAGAGCCAGGUUUGAAGCCUUUGCUCUUCAGAAAGUCUUUGAGUGUGUCAUACCAAGCCCGAGGGGCUUGUUUGAGGCCAUACAGUGCCUUGUUGAGCUUGUACACCAUGUCAGGAUGUUUUGGAUCUUCAAAGCCAGGUGGUUGUGCAACAUACACUUCUUCUUCAAUCUUGCCAUUGAGAAAAGCGCUCUUCACAUCCAUUUGAUAUAGAAGAAUGUUAUGAUGAUUUGCAUAGGCCAGCAAUAUGCGUAUAGCUUCAAGCCUAGCCACAAGCGCAAAUGUUUCAUCAAAGUCAAUCCCUUCAACUUGAGUGUAUCCUUGAGCAACGAGACGAGCUUUGUUUCCGACAACUUGACCAUGCUCAUCGUGCUUGUUGCGAUAUAUCCACUUAGUGCCUAUUAUAUUGUGCUUGCGAGGACCAGGACGCUUAACCAGUUCCCACACAUUAUUCAGCUCAAACUGUUGAAGCUCUUCUUACAUAGCUUGAAUCCAUUCAGGUUCCAUGAAGGCUUCAUCAACUUUCUUGGGUUCAGAUAUUGAGACGAAUGCGAAGUUCCCAUGGAAGUUAGCUAGCAGUGUUGCCCUUGAACGAGUGAGUGGACCUGGUGCAUUGAUGCUGUCAAUUAUCCUUUCAAUCUGUACUUCAUUUGCAACACGAGGAUCGACAGGACAAAGAUUUUGCUCUUGCUUAUCAUUAUCAUCGUUAGAAGGAUUGUCUUCAGGAUGAGCAUUGUCUUCAGAUUGAUCAGGUGCAGAGAUGAUAAGUUCCUCUUCAGGCUGAGCUUCAGAUGGUAUGAUUUCUCCAGUUGCCAUAAGUUUGAUUGAGUCACUGGAUGGAACUUCAUCUAGCACAUUUGGUAGGUGCUCUCUUUGCGAGCCGUUAGUCUCAUCGAACCGCACAUCCACAGUUUCAACCACUUUAUAGUGAAAGAGGUUGAAGACUAUGUAGGAGUGCGAAUCCUUUCCAUAUCCAAGCAUAAAACCUUCAUGUGCUUUCGGUGCAAAUUUUGAAGUGUGAUGUGGAUCCUUGAUCCAGCACCUGGCGCCAAAUACUCUGAAGUAACUGGCAUUUGGCUUCUUGCCAGUAAGGAGCUCAUAGGAUGUCUUGUUCAGAAGCUUGUGAAGAUAAACACGGUUGAUGAUAUGGCAUGCAGCACCAAUGGCUUCAGGCCAGAACUUUCUUGGAGUCUUGUAUUCAUCAAGCAUCGUCCGGGCCAUCUCAAUAAGUGUUCUGUUCUUGCGUUCCACGACGUAAUUCUGCUGCGGCGUGUACGGAGUUGAGAAUUCAUGUGUGAUGCCCAAAGUAUCAAGAUAACUAUCUAGGCCAGUGUUCUUGAAUUCAGUGCCAUUGUCACUUCUGAUGUGCUUGAUCUUGACGCCAUAGUUGUUCAUGGCUCGAUUGGCGAAGCGUCUGAAGACAUCCUGCACUUCAGUCUUGUAGAGGAUUAUAUGCACGAAAGUAUAUCUUGAAUAAUCAUCAACAAUGACAAAGCCAUAGAGACAAGCAGUAGUAGUAAGAGUUGAGUAAUGAGUGGGACCGAAAAGGUCCAUGUGGAGCAGUUCGAAGGGUUGCGUCGUUGUCAUGAUUGUCUUCGAGGGAUGCUUGGCCCUCGUCAUCUUUCCUGCUUCACAGACACCACAUAAGUGAUCCUUCUUGAACUUGACGCCCUCGGUGCCUAUGACAUGAUUCUUCUUUGCAAGGGUGUGCAGGUUCCUCAUGCCAGCAUGCCCUAGCCUCCGAUGCCAGCGCCAACAUUCAGAAGCUUUUGCUAGAAGACAUACGUCAAGUUGAGGUCCUGCUGAGAAAUCUACCACGUACAAGUCAUCUUUCCAAUACCCUUCAAAGACUAGAGAUUUGUCAGAUUCCAUUAGAAGAAGGCAACGAUAUUUUCCAAACAUCACAAUCAUGUUCAAAUCGCAAAGCAUUGAGACAGACAUUAAGUUGAAACCAAGGGAUUCAACAAGUGUUAGCAAAUGUGAUGUGACUUUAUCCAUGUGUUGAUCCCUUGAGAUUGCAACUCUACCUAGACCCAAUACCUUGCUUUUACCAGUGUUAGCAAAUGUGAUGUGACUUUUGUCUGAUGGACAUAAGGUUGAGUCCAUGAGAAGACUUCGCUUGCCAGUCAUAUGAUUAGUACACCCACUAUCAAUAAUCCAUUCUGAAGCAGCUGGUGUUGUACCCUAUAGUGCAGUUAGGGGGAUAGGCUUCAGGAAGAGAAUUGUGAAGCAUAAACAUUUGACGAGCAAGUGGAUUAUGAAAGCUUAGAUCGAGGUUAGGACUGAUAGGGCAAGUAGCAAGCGACUCAGGAACAAAAUACAUAAUAAGACCAUUUGGGCAUUUCAUCUUGCGCCCUACAAGAUGUUUAAGGUCCCCAGCAAUAGCUUCAGACGAAUUUGAUUGUUGGCUGGAGACCUUUCCCUGCAAAAGAGAGUUAAGCUUUCUUAGCCACCCACAUCUUCAAGGGUGGCUUCGAAGCAAUGAGUCUAAGUGCAGCAUCUGAGAAUUUUGGCUUUGGAGCCCUAGCAAAAAGUCUCGCAGGUGGACAAUAGUACUCAUAAGAAUAAGCAGAGUAGUUCUUGGUCUUAUGAGCAUGGCGGUUUGAUGAAACACGCUCAUAUUCAUAGGCCUAAGUAUGGCUUUCCUGCAAAACAUUUGCAUUAGUGCGACUCAGGUGAGUCCUUUGUCUGUAUGAAGCCUUUGGACCAUAUGAAGCCUGUGGUCUGGGGUUUGUCUUCUUCACUUGUGGUGUCAUGACGACAUUCACAGGAAGAUUCUCCAACAACCUUUUCGGCACCCAGACUUUCUUCAUAGGUGGCCCAUUCCUACAGUUAGUACCAAUAUACCUGGCAAACACUUCACCAUUCUGAUUCUUAAACAGUUUAUAGUUUGGAUCAAAUGAUUCAUCAAUAACAAUGGGAUUAGCACAAUUGAAGCCUGACAGAGUGGAUGGAUCCACUGAGGGUUCCUUUGCAGCAACCCAUGUGGUUUUGGCGUACUGCUCAGGUUUCCAGUAAGAGCCAUCAGCAUUCAUUUUCCUUUCGAACCCAAGACCCUCCUUUCUAGGGUUUCGGUUCAGGAUCUGCCUUUUGAGGACAUCACAUAGUGUCUGAUGCCCUUUGAGACUUUUGUACAUCCCUGUUUCAAGCAAUGUCUUCAACCUAGCAUUUUCAUCAGCAAUUGCAGUGGUAUCCUCAGCAGAGGGGUUAGUUACCACAUCAACAGUUGAAGAUAUUGCAAUAGUAGCAGCAGUAGAACAUCCAGGAAUAGAAGUAGUGUUGUCACGCUCAAUACAUUUAAGAGAUGGUGGUUCAAAUCCUUCCUAAGCGGGACUGAUCUGUUUGGCACGAAGUGACUCAUUUUCCUUUUGAAGAUCUUCAUGAGCCGCUCUCAAUUUCUCAAGUUCUUGCUUCCUUUGAAGAUAAUCAUAGGAAAGCUUUUCAUGAGUUGUUGAGAGCGAUUCAUGACGACUUUCAAGUUCCUCAUACUUAACAUGAAGAUUUUUUAUGUCUUCAAUUAAGGACUGAGAUCGAGUCAUUUCAGCGUCUAAUAGGUCAUCGCUUUUGUCUAAUAGUUUUAGAAUAUGUUCCAUAGCUUUCUGUUGUCCAGUUGCAAUUUUAGCAAGUGUUUUGUAGCUGGGUUUGGAAACACAAUCAGAGUCAUCUUCACUGGAUGUUUGAUAGUGAGUAGUGCAUGUGUUUACCUUGGCACCACGUGCCAUGAAGCAGUAGGUGGGAGCGGAGUAGUCCUUGUCAUUUGCAUCAGUGUCGGUGAUGAAGUCAUUGUCUUCAGUGUUGAAGAUGGACUUGGCAACGUAUGCUGUAGCCAGGCUCGCAACGCCAGAAUCAGACUCCUCCUCAGAUUCCACCUCCGCCUCCUCAGAAGCGGACUCCUCCUCUGAAUCCAUUUCCUUGCCAACAAAUGUACGAGCCUUGCCAGAUGAGCUCUUCUUGUGUGAUGAAGACUUUUAGGAAGACUUGGAAGAAGACUUUGAGUAUUUCUUCUUCUUGUCGUCAGAAUCAUACUCCUUUCUCUUCUUUUUCUUCUUGUUCUCAUUGUCCCACUACGGACACUCAGAGAUGUAGUGGCCAGGUUUCUUGCACUUGUGGCAUGUUCUCUUCUUAUAAUCAUGAGCAGAAGCUUCAUCAUUCCUUGAGCUUGAUCGUGAAGACUUUCUAAAGCCUUUCUUAUUGGUGAAUUUUUGGAACUUCUUCACAAGCAUAGCAAGCUCCUUUCGAAUGUCUUCAGGAUCAUCGGAACUACUGUCGGAUUCUUCUUCAGAUAAGGAGACAACUUUUGCCUUCAAGGCACGAGUUCGCCCAUAGUUGGGACCGUAGAUGUCUCUUUUCUCAGAAAGCUGAAACUCAUGUGUGUUGAGCCUCUCAAGUAUGUCAGACGGAUCGAGUGUCUUGAAGUCAGGACGGUCUUGAAUCAUCAGGGCUAGGGUGUCAAACAAGCUGUCAUGUGAUCUCAAGAGUGUCUUGAUGACUUCAUGCUUGGUGAUCUCAGUAGCGCCGAGGGCUUGAAGCUCAUUUGUGAUGUUAGUGAGUCGAUCAAACAUGAGCUGGACAUUCUCAUUGUCAUUUCUCUUAAAGCGGUUGAAGAGGUUGCGAAGGACACUGAUUCUCUGAUCUCUCUGGGUUGAGACGCCUUCGUUGACCUUGGAGAGCCAGUCCCAGACUAGCUUAGAUGUUUCCAAAGCAAUCACACGGCCAUACUGUCCUUUGGUCAGAUGACCACAGAUGAUGUUCUUGGCAGUGGAGUCCAGUUGAACGAACUUCUUGACAUCAGCAGUGGUGACACCUUCACCAGCCUUGGGAACGCCAUUCUUGAGGACAUACCAUAGGUCGACGUCAAUGGCUUCAAGGUGCAUGCGCAUCUUAUUCUUCCAGUAGGGAUAUUCAGUUCCAUCGAAGACUGGCACGCAACGGAGACUUUGAUUAUCCCUGCAGUCGACAUAGCUAAAACUCCAGGUGGUUAAACCAAAUCACACAGAACAAGGGAGUACCUUGCUCUGUUACCAAUUGAAAGUGCUAGUGAUCGACUAGGGGGGGUGAAUAGGCGAUUUUUAUGAAAGUCUUCAAAACAUGGAAGUUUUUAAGACAAACGAUAGAAAUAAACCUAUUAUCAUGCAGCGGAAGGUAGACUACCCUAAGCAAGCCAUAGUCAAGUAUUCAAUGAAGUGAAAGUACAACAACUAAUAGCAGCUAGGCAGUAUAGAUCAGGUUGGAAGAUAGUGUGAAGCCAAUCAGAACAAGCGGUCACUCAGUGAAGACAAAAGAUAAUGCAAUCAUACAAUGACUUCACUAGAGCCAACAGUAAGUAAAGGAAUGGGAAGGAUGAAACCAGUGACUCGUUGAAGACAAUGAUUUUUUGGACUAGUUCCAGUUGCUGUACAACUAUACGUCUGGUUAGGGAGGCUGAGAUUCAACUCAGAAGACCGUGUCUUCACCUUAUUCUCCUUGAGCUAAGGACACCAGUCCUCACCCAAUCACUCUGGUAAGUCUUCAAGGUAGACUUCCAAACCUUCACAGACUUCGUUCAUCGGCGAUCCACAAUGACUCUUGGAUGCUCAGAACGUGACGCCUAACCGGCUGGAGGAUUCACAGUCCUCAAGUGUAAUAAGUCUUCUGAUCACACAGAUAGGAAGACUUAAGUGGCCUAACACUCUUUGGCUCUGGGUGUUUAGGGCUUUAUCCUCGCAAGGAAUUCUCUCUCAAAGGCUUCGAGGUGGGUUGCUCUCAAACGGCAGAAGCCAUACACUAACUCUGAGCAGCCAACCGUUUAUGGUUGUAGGGGGUGGGCUAUUUAUAGCCAGUUGGCAACCCGACCUGAUUUGUCCGAAAUGACCCUGGGUCACUAAAGAACUGACACGUGUUCCAACGGUCAAAUUUCAAACACACAUGGCAACUUUGCUUGAGCUACAAGCAAAGCUGACUUACCCAGCUCUGGAUAAGAUUUGCUCUCAUUGUCUUCGCUCGAAGAUAUAUGAUUUUGGUUUAGCAUCACUUCAGUCAUUCUGACUGGUUCACUUGGACCCCACUUAACAGUACAGUGGUUCCUAUGACUCAACAAAGAAGAAAAGGAAUGACGAAUAAACUAAGUCUUCACACUCCAUAGUCUUCACUCGAUGUCUUAUCUUGUCAUAGUCUUCAAUGUGACUGUCUUCACAUACCACCUUUGACUUCAAUGUUUUUAUACAUUUUUAAGGGUCAUCUCUGGUAGGAAAAUUGAAUCAAUGAGGGACUUCUAGCUGUGUUAUCCUGCAAUUCUCACAAACACAUUAGUCCCUCUACCAGGUUUGUCGUCAAUACUCCAAAACCCAGUAGGGGUGGCACUAGAUGCACUUACAUGCUUGUUAUGUUCUUGGACUGUAGCAUCAUUGUUUCAUGCCUCCAGCAUGUCAAUGUGUUAUUCCUGCUCACAUGUAUGCCAUGUUUUUCACUAAGUCAUAAUCUGUGUUAUAAAGUUUCCUUUUGCUUUGCUCAUGUUGGAUUAAUCUUCAUGCCUAUGAACCUGAACCCUAAUGAUAAUUGAAGUAUGUAAUCUAUACCUUAAGUGCAUAUCAUGUUUGUGCCUAUCUUGUUCUUGUAGCAUGUUGUUAUGAUGCUUGUAAGAUGCCUAGUUGCUGUUUUGGACAGCUUGUCCUCUAACCUUGUUUCGUGUGUAUGUGUUGAACCGUGGCUCCGAUUGGAGCAUGCUCUAUAUGAAACUUAGUUGGUUUUGCAUGUAGUUUCAUCAUGCCAUGUUGCUUCCAUGUUUUGGAGUGUUUGUGAUUGUCUUUUGCUUGCAUUUGCAUCAAUGUCAUGUUGACUUGUUUUGCGCAUAUCUUCUAGGCCGUAGCCCCGAAUUAAGUGAACAUUAUAUGUAACUUGAUUAGAAUAGCAUGUAGACCAUCAUGGUGCAUAUUAACUUGCUUUUUAACAACUUCAACAUAUUGUGGUAUUCAGAUCUGAACCAAUUUUGAAAUUUGCAUACGAGGACUUACCGAAAUUGUUAUGUGUUGUUUCCGGUCUCAUUUAAACUUGCUUUGAUGUGUUGUUUUUGUAUGCAUCCUCUCUAUCUGGAAUUGUUAUGUGAUAUUCAGGGAUGUGCACACGGUUAUGUGGCAGAUGGAAAUUUUUUAAUAUCUAGUUGUAGUGGACUUUAACUAAUCUCAAUUAAAAUACAUCAACCGCGUGCGUAACCGUGACGGUCUCUUUUCGAGUGCGUUGAGAAGAGAACACGAUGGAGUUAUAUUUGAAUGUAAGUAGUUCAGGAUCACUUAUUGAUCAUUACUAGUUGUGACCAUCUGCGUAGUUUCUCAUCUUGCUCUUGUACUCAUAAGUUAGCCACCAUAUAAUGCUUAGUCGCUUGCUGCAACCUCACCACUUAUCUAUUCCAUACCCAUUAAGCUUUGCUUAUCAUGAUACCCAUGGUAAUGGGAUUGCUGAGUCCUCGUGGCUCACAGAUUACUUCAACAACAGUUGCAGGUACAGGUAACGUGAUGAUCAUGACGUGAGAGCGAUGUUUAUUUGUUUUGGAGUUCUUGUUCUACUUCUUCUUGGAUCACGGGAUAGGUUCCUGGUCGGCAGCCUGGGCUAGCAGGGUGGAUGUCGUUUGGGUUUCUGUUUGUUUUUCAUUCAUAGUCGGAUGUUGUUCUCAUGUAUGAUGUUUGAUGUAUUUUUGUGGAUUUGUAUGCCUUGUAUGUAUCCCCAACUAUUAUCUAAUGGUGCCAUGUAAUGAUAUGCACCUUGCAAAAGCGUUUCAAUAUGCAGAUCUAUCCUUGGUGGGACCUUCGAGUUCCUCUCGGAUAGGAU
This 21746-nucleotide long non-coding RNA is filed under the name Triticum aestivum (bread wheat). RNAcentral describes it as "long non-coding RNA (TAES_LNC020537)". Lineage: Eukaryota; Viridiplantae; Streptophyta; Magnoliopsida; Poales; Poaceae. The record is from RNAcentral.